UUCCAGACUCCUACGGGAGGCAGCAGUCGGGAAUAUUGCGCAAUGGAGGAAACUCUGACGCAGUGACGCCGCGUGCAGGAAGAAGGUUUUCGGAUUGUAAACUGCUUUAGACAGGGAAGAUACAAGACAGUACCUGUAAAAUAAGCUCCGGCUAACUACGUGCCAGCAGCCGCGGUAAUACGUAGGGAGCAAGCGUUAUCCGGAUUUAUUGGGUGUAAAGGGUGCGUAGACGGGAAGGCAAGUUAGUUGUGAAAUCCCUCGGCUUAACUGAGGAACUGCAACUAAAACUAUCUUUCUUGGGUGCUGGAGAGGAAAGUGGAAUUCCUAGUGUAGCGGUGAAAUGCGUAGAUAUUAGGAGGAACACCAGUGGCGAAGGCGACUUUCUGGACUGUACCUGACGCUGAGGCGCGAAAGCGUGGGUAGCGAACGGGAUUAGAUACCCCCGUAAUA
This 450-nucleotide ribosomal RNA is filed under the name uncultured bacterium. Its description in RNAcentral is "bacterial SSU rRNA". It matches the Rfam family "Bacterial small subunit ribosomal RNA", at positions 329 to 795 of the family's 1533-position model. The record is from RNAcentral.